AGUGAACGCUGGCGGUAGGCCUAACACAUGCAAGUCGAACGGCAGCACAGUAAGAGCUUGCUCUUACGGGUGGCGAGUGGCGGACGGGUGAGGAAUACAUCGGAAUCUACUUUUUCGUGGGGGAUAACGUAGGGAAACUUACGCUAAUACCGCAUACGACCUACGGGUGAAAGCAGGGGAUCUUCGGACCUUGCGCGAUUGAAUGAGCCGAUGCCGGAUUAGCUAGUUGGCGGGGUAAAGGCCCACCAAGGCGACGAUCCGUAGCUGGUCUGAGAGGAUGAUCAGCCACACUGGAACUGAGACACGGUCCAGACUCCUACGGGAGGCAGCAGUGGGGAAUAUUGGACAAUGGGCGCAAGCCUGAUCCAGCCAUACCGCGUGGGUGAAGAAGGCCUUCGGGUUGUAAAGCCCUUUUGUUGGGAAAGAAAAGCAGCAGGUUAAUACCACGCUGUUCUGACGGUACCCAAAGAAUAAGCACCGGCUAACUUCGUG
RNAcentral lists this ribosomal RNA (492 nucleotides) under uncultured bacterium. RNAcentral describes it as "partial 16S ribosomal RNA". It matches the Rfam family "Bacterial small subunit ribosomal RNA", at positions 29 to 507 of the family's 1533-position model. The record is from RNAcentral.